AUUUUAUCGAGCAAAUCACCAACUUCUACCAUUCUGUGAGUUUCAUAUUCAUCGUACAACAACAUGCCCAAACAAUCGAGUUAAGGGUGCGUUUGGUUCGUAUUAUGAAAGAUUACUAGGAAUAAAAGAUAUCCGAGAAUCUUAUUCCUAUUCAUCAUAUUACUAAGAAUGUGAAAUUUCUGUGUUUGGUUCGCACGGUAAUAUUAAUUAGCCAUGUUAUUUAAUAUUACAAAAAAUAUACAAUUUAUUUAUUUAUUUAAUUUUAGAUAAUGUUACCAAAAGUUUUAAUAUUUUUUUAGAAAAAAAGGAGAGAGAGAGUAUAAGUUAGAGAGAGAUAACAUAAUUAAAAAAAAAAAAGAAAAAUAUAGUCGAAAUUAGGAGUGAGAGAGUUGAAAUUUUAGAAAGAGAGAGAGAGAAAGCUUAGUUUAGAGAGAGAAAAAAAAGUUGAAUUUUAGAGAGAAAAAUAAGUUUAGAGAGAGAUAUAAGGUUAGAGUGUAAAGAAAAAUAAUAUCAAUUAGCCUGCGGGUAGGAAGAAANN
RNAcentral lists this long non-coding RNA (538 nucleotides) under Ananas comosus (pineapple). RNAcentral describes it as "long non-coding RNA (ACOM_LNC030471)". Lineage: Eukaryota; Viridiplantae; Streptophyta; Magnoliopsida; Poales; Bromeliaceae. The record is from RNAcentral.